RNAcentral lists this non-coding RNA (26 nucleotides) under Rattus norvegicus (Norway rat). The record is from RNAcentral. Lineage: Eukaryota; Metazoa; Chordata; Mammalia; Rodentia; Muridae.
UUCGUUGGUGCUGGCCCUCACCCAGG